CACAAAAUGCAAUAAAAUUGGAAUGCACUUUUGAUCUCUGCUGAAGAGUGGGAAGUGAACCUCACUCAAGUGGUGUAGAAAUGACUACUCUUCUCUGUUACUGUAGUUAAGUAGCAAAUGUAGGGUAGCUGCCCUAACAUUAACAGCAGAGAAAAGCAGAACAGCUCAAAAGAAUUAAGAGUGGGAGUGGGAGAAACAAAGCAAAGUUACUGUUUGGAAUACGUGCUGGCUGGAGCUAUAGUAGAAAGGGGUAACUUGGAAAAGGGGUAGCCUCCACAAAAGCCAUGAUGACAGAUGACUGAUUGAAGAAUGGAAUGGUCAAGCCCUCUUAAAUGUGCCGGGAUAACUAAAUAGAAAUGCAGUUAUUGGUGUUUUUUUAUAGUUGUCAAUCUAUGUAGUCACAGAAUGGCUUUAUGUCUGCAUAGAUUAUCUACAGACAUUUUCGAGGCUCCCAAAUUGGACAGAUUGCAUUAGGAAAUGGGGAAAUGCUUUCCCAGUCAAUUCCUUCUGCUAUCAACAAAAAAAUUAAACUAAUAGUUGAAAGUCAGCUCCAGAAAUAUGAAGGCAACACUUCUCUGACAGGCAUAUUGCUGAGGAAAUGUCUGAAAACAUAUCAGCCCCUUAAGUUGAAUGAAUCGUGAUGCUCACAGAAAGAGGCUAGUUUUCAACUGGUAACACAAAUCACUUAGCACUUAUCAUACUUAGGACUUGCAGAAGGUGAGGGGGUGUCUCCUUAGCAAAGCAUAUAAUCCCCUUUGUUUUAAAAGAUGUUUUGUUUUACAAAUCUCAUCAGAUGCUUUAGGUUUUCCCACUCUAUCUGCAUUCUGUACCAUCACACAUGCGAGUGCUGUCCCCACCCACACUACAUUCUUUUUGAAAAUAAAAACAGGAAAAACUUCAAUAUCAAAAGCCAAGAUUACUAUGGACCUCAUCCCAUUGGGGGGGAUUUUUAGCCCCCUUUGUCUUUCCCAUGCCUUUCUUCCCUUCAUUAUACCAGCAUAACUGUAAAACACUUUGCCAUGAUCCCCAUUUGGCUUUGCUUCCCUCCAUUAUACUAGUGUUAUGUUAAAAAGCUAGCAAUAGCACAAUUUCUAUGAAUGAGAAGAUGCAGCAAAUGAUUACAUUGAUUUAUUUAAAAAAUGAAUCCACAUCACUGAAAUGAUUCAACGUGGGUGAAUCUGACAGAUCCCAUUCCAUAUGCUUUAAUCACUUUUUCUCAUUUCCAUGCGCAUUGGGAGCUCAAAAGAUGGUUUCUCCCCAUCUCCUGUCCACCCCCCACUCCACACCCCUUCUCUACUACAUUUCAGGAAUAAAGUGCAACGGAUGACAACCAGAAGUAUUUUAUGUCAUAUGAAGGACUCAGUGGCUCUUCGUCUCUGAAAUGUUUUAAAAGUGUAUGGAGAUGUAAGAGGACUUGUGUCUGGUGAAGUCCUUAUAGAAAUAAAAGAAGGGUCUUCAUAAACAUGUACAGUAGAGUCUCACUUAUCCAACACUCGCUUAUCCAACGUUCUGGAUUAUCCAACGCAUUUUUGUAGUCAAUGUUUUCAAUACAUCAUGAUAUUUUGGUGCUAAAUUCGUAAAUACAGUAAUUACUACAUAGCAUUACUGAGUAUUGAACUACUUUUUCUGUCAAUUUUUUUGUUAAACAUGAUGUUUUGGUGCUUAAUUUGUAAAAUCAUAACCUCAUUUGAUGUGUAAUAGGCUUUUCCUUAAUCCCUCCUUAUUAUCCAACAUAUUCGCUUAUCCAAUGUUCUGCCGGCCCAUUUAUGUUGGAUAAGUGAGACUCUACUGUAUCUCCCUUUAUGAUAAUGCUUUUUUUAUAUUUCAGAAUUCUGUAGCUUUAUGAAGAUGGAGAGCUAGUUGUGCAGAAUCAAAAGUGUACAUUCUUCUGGUGUAGGCUUCCAGAGAUGGAAGCAACAAAGAUCUUGACAUCCUGUCACCUAACGUCUCUCAAUAGUCUUGACUAAAGAAGACCCAAUGGAUGAACUGAAUUUACCUAUGUUUUCAUUCAACAGUUGAUUGGAUGGGUGUAUUCUAAUUAAGUCAGUUCAUCACUGUUUAGAGCAAGAUGACAUGUUGAAUAGACCUGGGAAGAUAACAGAGAUCUGGGACAUGUUCCUGAUACAGAAAUGAGAGGAAGGUUCCUACACAGGCAAACCCUCUCUCCUCACCCUCACAAGAGGUUCUCCGGUCACCAAGGAAACUGGGCAUGCUUUUUCAUCCUGGUGAGACGCAUAGGCCUCUGAUGCCCACUGGUCUGUAUAGUCUUGGGGGGUAUAGAGGCCACAGUCCACAAAACUGCUGUUUUUCUCAAAUGGCUCACAAAUGCCAUCUCCAUCAUGGACAUAGCACAUACUUGGUUCACCUGCAAGAUAAAAUAAAUGUGGGAUUGUGAACCCUGUACCAGCAAACUGAAUUUCAUUCAAAACAUUUUGAUCCAAGUAUAGUUUAGAUCCAAUGCUGUAACAAUACAGAUUGGAACCAAUAUAUCAAAUAUAUUUCACUGGUGAAAGCUGGGACACAUGUGACCAAAUAACAUUAGAUGGUGGUCAAAAGUUUGUAGCCUUCCACCUAUCACUUCAAAGACUCCUACCUAGCAUCCUGAAUGCCACUAAUUUAUUAUUAGGGCUGCUGCUAAUUAGAUAUCCCAUGGCAUGGUCUGCACCACACUACAUCAUACUAUCACAUUUCUAAAUACUUACUAAACAAACUAUGACAAUCAUCUGAUUUUCUGUUUAUUAAUGGUUUAGGAGAAAGUCAUAUUCCUUCCUAUAGUGCUAGGGUUCACAGUCCCAUCACAUUUGUUAUCAAGAGUGGCAGUGAGUAAUUUUCAUAUCAGUGGGAUAUAGUUAAUCUAUUCUGGGUUUUAGUCCAAAUUUCCUUAUCUCACUAAUAUGGGGGCAACAGAUGGCUACUAUUGCCAUCUACUGGCUUCAUCACAAUGAUACUGAUUCAGAGGUGAAAUCUAAACAUAGAAAAUAACCGUGCUUAAAACUAAUCAGUCCAAAUGAAGCACUUCCCCUGUGCUACCCCACAAUUAUCAAACUUUUCCUUGCUACCAUACUGCUUUUUGUGUGAUAUUCAUUACGAAGUUCAACAAAGUUUGAAAUGUUGCAUUCAAAAAUAUAUACACAAAUACAACAAGUUUGUGACAUAAUCUGGCUAAGAUAAGUAACAGGCAUUCAAAAAGAGAGCAUGUGAUAGCUUUUCUGGUCUCACCAACACAAUGGAAUCCUUUUUCUUUUUUACAAGUUUUAGAACAACCGUCACCAUCUAACAGGUCUCCGUCAUCACAUUCUUCUGUAAGAGCCCUAGGGAGACAACAAGAACAAAAAGAAUGCCAACAAUUCUUGGUAUUUUUUAUAUAGCACAAUUGAAAAAGAGGAAAAGCUCAGCAUACGUCUGGGGAAGCAAAACCUGGCAGCCUCCAUGGCUAUUAUUUUCAGGUGAGAGUUUCCUGAAAAGUCCUUUACCUUUUCUGGUCCCCAAGUGAGAUGAAAAUAAAAAGAACAAGAGAAUGCUGAUCUGCUUUGCCAGUGGGUAAAUUAAUCUAAGCCUGAAUACACUUAAUGCCUGCACCAUGAAUCAGUUGAAAAUCAGAAUACUGGAAAAAAUUGUUAUGAGACUAUUUCAUUAUCUGAUGGCCUUAAAGCCCAAUGACUUUUUGCAAUGAUUAAAAUGAGUCAAGGCAGCUCCUAUGCUCUAGAACUACAAAAUAAUUUGAUAUAGAAAUGAUAAAUGUUGUGAUAAAUAAAAUAAACUGAACUAAUGGUUAGCCAAAAACUUGUAGGCUGUAUACAUUAAUAUUGUCCAUUAUUUAAAAUAUCAAAACUCUAAACCGAGGCCAAAUUCCAUUCUGCUCAAGCAAAAAGUUCAGAUAAGGUUAUGUGUUCUGGUUAUCAUAGCAAUUUUCUGGGAGAACUUCUUCACCAGAAAAGAAAUUAAAAUGUUUCUGCAUUUCUUUGCUAUAGGCUCAUUUUGAACACGUUCUUCUAUGAAAACAGAGAUUGAUAAAAGCAUAUGGAGAACUAUAUGAGGAAGUACUGGCUAGUUUUCAAGGAGACAAUCUUCUCCAGUUUGAAUUUGAAGCUGAGCUGGCGAAGAAUUCAGAGACUUAACAAUUUCAGCUCUCCUUUGUGGCGAACAGAGAACUCACUUCUCUAAUCCUUUGUUUCAAAUGUUUUAAGUAUUCUCUCUGCUACAACCAAAACUCCAACUUCCCAUCAACAAUACAAGAAUAAUAAUGCUGAAAGGGUUUGCCAAAGGUGAUAAUCGCAGAAACUUGUAAAGCAAAGUGAGCCUUAUCAGGCAGCAUUAGUUCCAAACAAGGAGUUUCCAAAAGCCAAGAGACUGAGAAUCCACAAACAGGAGCUAGUUUUUACUCUGUUUUAACAAGAAACAGAGAAAAGGCAGAACCACUCAAUACAGGGUGUUUGAAAAAGAACUCCCUAAAUGGUGAAUAGGGAGCUCUUUUUCAAACACCCUGUAUUAUCUUUGCCUCAGUCUUCUCCCAAACUUCACCCAACUUGGGGAUAAUGCAGCCAAUGAUGAAGUAGGAAAAAUACAGCACAGAAUAGGUAAAGGGACAGUAUAGGCAUAUCUGGAAUCUUGUGUCCUGUUCUGGACAAAAUUCAAGGAUAUUGACAAGCUGGAAAUUGUCCAAAGUCAACCAAAAUGAUAAAAGAUCAGGAAACUAAGCCUUAUGAGGAAUGACUUAGGUAGCUGGAUGUGGUUAGCUUGGAGAAAAGAAGGCUGAGAGGGGACAUGACAACCAUGUUUAAAUAUGUGAAAGGAUUGAGGAAGGGACAAGCGUACUUGUGCUGGUUUAGAGACUAAGGGCCAUCCACAUUGUGGCAAAUCCAUGGGCUCCUGGUUGUGGGGGGGGGGGCAUUGAGAAGCCAUUGCUCUAUGUCCCACAUUGCGCAAAUUAGCUUGCCCCUCAUCCCAUGGAAGGAAAUGUCACCGUCUGGCUUCCCCCUCCCCCGCCCCCAUUGCUGGGAAGGCUCCUGUGUUGCUGCCAUGGCAGUGUGCACCGCUUCCUCUCCUCUUUCGGCAUGAAGCCCACUUGGAAUUGCCUGUACAUCAUCUAAUGGGCUCCAUGCUGAAAGUGGAGCGGAAGCAGCAUAUGAUAGGCAAAUCAGUCCAUGUAAUGAGGUGUUUUUACAUGGAGUAAUUAAUUCAAUUUGCAGGAGAAGAGAUUCCACCUAAACAACAGUAAGAGCUGUUUGGCAGUGGAAUAUGUUGCCUUGAAGCAAGAUAGACUCUUCUUUUUUGAAGAUGUUUAAGCACAGGCUGCAUGGGCAUUUGUUGAGAGUGCUUUAGUUGAGUUUUUCCUGCAUGGCAGGGAGUUUGAGUGAAUGGCUCUUGUGGUCUCUUCCAAAUCUAUGAUUCUAUGGUUCUAUCUAAUAAAAUGAAUAUUAAUGAUUUGUAAGGAUGAAAUGAUAAUCUAGCAGGUUUGAUUUCCAAUAAAAGUAUUAAAAUUCCACAUGUGUAACCAAAUUACACUAUAUUAAUCUUCUGUCUAAUUUCAAGGUGCAGUGAAUGAACAUAUAAACUCUUGCAUGAGCCACAUGUAGAAAACGGAGAUUAAUUAAUGAAUAGGGAUGUUUGUUGAGUGGCAUAUUUUACUGAAAGUAAAAAAGCAACAAAGGCAUCUAAAUGCAAAUUUCACUGAAAGCAGCUGGUCCCAUAUGCAUUUAGAUAUUUCUGAAAGCUCAUUCAGUUAGUAUUACAAUUCCAUAAACCGGCCAUUCUAGAUAAAAUAAGGACUUUUGAUGUAAAUCUCAGAUAACUGAGUAGUUAAGGGGGAACUGCAAAGAAAGGAGAAGGGUACCUACAUGUUGCAAAGAAAACAUUAUUAAAGUUUUGCUGAUGUUCAUGUGAUAAGGUGGAAAGAAAGUAUAAAAAUGAUAUAUGGGACAGUUAAACUGUCCUCUAGAGUUUGGCAAAGAUUCUUCUUCAGACUACAGUUGCCUUCAGGCAGUAUGACCACAAGUCAUGCUACCCAGAGGACUCUAAGAUCAAUAGUUAUACAAAAUUUCCCAAGCUCUGAUACUAAUGCAUCAUAACAAUCACUUUAAAAAUGGCAGCAGCAACAACAAAGGCAUUGUUACUCACAUGUUUAUUUUUCCAUUACCACAAUAGGGAGAUCCAUGGAUAUGGAGCAAAGGUGGGGAGGCUUCUCCUACAGUGGCUCCUGCUACAGCUUGUACCUGAUAUUGAUAUAGCUGGCCAACUAUGACUUCCCUAGAGAAACAAGCAGAAUCAGACCUUAAGAUAGAGCAAAGAGUGUGCAGCAAAAAGGCAUUUUCUGCCUCCAACAAUGUUAAAAAAGAAGCUAGAAGCUCAAAAGCUCAGAGAACGUUCUCUAGGGCUUUCCACUUGACCUUACAUAUGGCCCCAGCUUCUAAGCACUUCACCUUAAGGACUCACUAGGGGCUAUGUGAUAACACUAGAAAUUUAGGUUCUUAGAGCAGUUCCCUUUUAGGCUUCAGGUCUGUGGUUGCUGAUGUGCAUACUAAUAAACAGGCAGAUGGAUUAUGGCUGUGAAUCAAACUAAGCAUGAUAUGGACGUUCUGUGUUUGGGAUUCUUAAACCCCAUUUCUCUGAUCCAGAAUGGCUGUUUUUUCCCACAAAGAUGAAGAUAUUAGACUCUCUAAACCAGUGGAGCUUAACCUGUGGGUCCCCAGAUGUUUUGGCCUUCAACUCUCAGAAAUCUAACAGCUAGUAAACUGCUGUGAUUUCUGGGAGUUGUAGGACAGAACACAUAGGGACCCACAGAUUGAGAACCACUGCUCUAAACAGAGCUUACAUUGUGCCCAGUGUGACCCAGGAGAAGAUGAAAGAUAUCAUUCCCCCAUUUAUCUGUAUUCUCUAUAAUAAAAAUGCAAACAUGUUUGUUUA
Long non-coding RNA from Anolis carolinensis (green anole), 6903 nucleotides. RefSeq lists it as uncharacterized. The record is from RefSeq and is a predicted model, not a curated record. The transcript is spliced from 2 exons. Lineage: Eukaryota; Metazoa; Chordata; Lepidosauria; Squamata; Anolidae.